UUCCUUUCGAAAUGGGAUCCAGUGAGAGUCAGGCCUAAGACUUUUGCUGUCCCUUAGGGUUAGGGUGAGCCUUGACUGUUGGCGGCCAUCUUGUCACCAAAUGGGAAGAGCCUCUUCCAGAAGGACCCCAACACCAAAGACAGCUCAGUAAGGGAAGGAUAAUGCCAAUUCCUUGUGAUGUUGUUUCGGCACCUGGAUCCAGCCAGGCCUGAACGCAAUAAUAUUGUACGUAUACAAAGCGCUUGCUUCAGCGUCGUUUGUGGUGAUGAAAGAUGGAGAAAAAGCCAGCAACAAAAGGCCCCGUUGAGUAAAUGAGGGUACGUGCCCCCAGCGGGAUACCACGCGACUGCUGAAGACGGGGCAGCUGUGUGCCCAGACAGGGGAACGUUCUCUACCGGGCGGGACAUUGGACAUUGAACUUCAGACACUGAACCUCUGCGUCUGUCCCCGAGGUUGCUUCCUCUGGGGGAGCCAGCCGCCGCACGACGUUUCGUGACCUCGGGGCCACUGCAUGGCGGGGUACCCCAGGCCACGUGAGACAGGAGGAAGGUUUAAGAGCCAGUGGGUGGCUCGCCAUUCGGCCAUUCUCCUGCCACAAAAAAAAUGGGGAGAGAAGAUUCUAGAAACCCUCUCGGAGAACUGCGUGCGUGGCUCUUGACUUUAUUCCACUGAAACUCAUCUACUCGAGAGGUGGUAGCCGAAAAUGGCAGCGUGGACAGCGGGGUUUGCGAGAAAACCUGUUGAGGGACAUGGUCUUUCCCCUCGACUGACGUGGGCCCCGUGGAUGGGCUCCUACAGGCUUUUGGCUGGAAGCCAGUAGAGGGAGCCCGGAGAUACGUGCUCAGAGGCAGAUGCUGAGCAAAGAGCAUGAGCUGUGUGUCAGUCAGCUGGGGCUGCCGCGACCAAGUGCCCCAGAUGGAGUGGCUGACACAACAGACAUCUGUUGUCUCAGUUCUGGAGAUAAACACGAGACCAGGGUGUGGGCAGACUUGGGUCCUUCUGAGGCCGUGAUGGAGAAUCAGUUCCAUGCCUCUGCCCUAGUUUCUGGCGAGUUGCUGGCAAUAUUGGGAGUUCGUGGCUUACAGAAGCAUCACCCCGGGUCUCUGCCCUCAGCGUUCGCCCUGUGCACGUCUGUGCCCAACUUGUCCCUUUCAUAUGGAAAACCGGUCAUACUGGGUUAGGACCCACGCAAAUGACCUCAUGUUAACUAAUCACAUCUGCAAAGACCCUGUUUCCAAAUAAGUCACGUUCUGUGCUGUUGUGUGUUAGGAUUGCAACAUUAGAAUUUUGGGGUGUAUCUUCGUUCUUUUGACCGCUAUAGCAAAAUACGAUACACUGGGUAUCGUUUAAACAACAGGCAUUUAUUUCUCAUGGUUCUGGAAGCCAGGAAGUCAAAGAUCAAGGCACUAGCAGGGUAAGCGUCUGUUGAGAACCUGCUUUCUGGUUCAUAGCGUCUUCUCGCUGUGUGCUCACCGGCCAGAAGGGGCAAGGGUGCUCCCUGGGGCCCCUUUUAUUAGGGCCCUGAUGCGGUUAGUGUGGGCUUCACCCUCAUUUCCUGAUCCUCUCUCGAAGGCCCCACCUCCUAAUGCAAUCACAUUGGGGUUAAGUGUCAACAUACAAGUUUUCUGUAGAGGGACACAAAUAUUCAGACCGUAACAGGGGGACACAGUUCAACCCAUGACAGCCUACAUCAAGGGCAGGCUAGUUCACAGAGGCUCCCCCUCACCAAACCGCCCACCCCCAAGGAGAAGUAGGAGGAGGAAGCAUGACAGCUCACAGUGGGCAACAGGGGAGGACGUGGUCAAGGACAUGAGAGGGCAGCACGGCAGGCCUCCCCACCCCCACUGCCCCAGGCAUCCAGCCUGAAGCCUUGGGGAGGGGGGAAGCUUUAACUAGGACAGGAUUGUGGAGGGGAGUCACCUGGAUACUGGUUGGGGUUAUUUUAAUGACUGUAUUGGGUUUAAUGAUGUUCCCUCCAGAUUCAUGUCAGAAUACAUCAGGUCAGAAUAUGACCUGAUUUGGAAACGGGGCCUAGGCAGGUGCAACCAGUUAUAGGGUUGGCCCUAAAUCCAGCGGCUGGUACCCUUAAGAGGAGAGGACACAGAGACACAGAAGGCCACGUAAUGACAGAGGCAGAGAUUGCAGUAGGGAAGGCCAGGGACUGCCGACGGCCACCAGAAGCCCGAAGCCUGGAACAGAUUCUCCAUCACAGCCUCCAGCAAGAGCCAGCCCAGCCGACGCCUUGAUCUCAGACUUCAGGCCUCUAGAACCGCGACAGAAUGAGUUUCUGUUUCCAGCCACCUGGUCUGGGGUACUGUGGUACGGCAGCCCUUGGGAAUGUGACACGGUGACCGGAACGAGAUUUUGAAGAUGAUUAUCAUCUGAGAAUGACUCUCAAAGUUGUCAUUCUUGCCAACAUGCUGUGCACUUGGAAGAGAGCAGCUGUGAAAGAUAAUGAAGGCCCCUUAUCUCGUGAUGCUCCCUGAGCCUUGUUCCAGCAGUGAAGUGGUUACUGCAUAGUGAUAAACAUCAUUACCAUAUAGCUGCACUGUUUAUAUAUUUAUUAUAUAGAGAAUACAAAUGUCGAUAUAAUUAAUACAUAGUUACAGUAUAUCUGUACUAUGUUAUGUAUAUGUCCAUACCACAUAAAUAUCAUUACAUCUGCAAUAGAUAGAUAGAUAGUAUGUGUGUGUAUAUAUAUAUAUAUAUGUAUAUAUAUAUAUGUGUGUGUGUGUGUAUAUAUAUAUACACACACACACAUGCCAUUACAUCUGUACUGUAUCAUAUCUGCUCUCUAUAAUUACACAUGGACUAUAUUAUGACAUCUGUACUAUAUAUACACAAUUGGAUCUGUACUAUUGUACUCUCUCUAUAUAGUUCUAGCCAUGUGUAUUGUUAUAUCUGCACUAUAU
Long non-coding RNA from Felis catus (domestic cat), 2912 nucleotides. RefSeq lists it as uncharacterized. The transcript has 4 exons. Lineage: Eukaryota; Metazoa; Chordata; Mammalia; Carnivora; Felidae. The record is from RefSeq and is a predicted model, not a curated record.